This 1814-nucleotide long non-coding RNA is filed under the name Sus scrofa (pig). RNAcentral's name for it is "lncRNA (ENSSSCG00050002880.1)". Lineage: Eukaryota; Metazoa; Chordata; Mammalia; Artiodactyla; Suidae. The record is from RNAcentral.
CCCAAGAAAUGGCAAAGACAAAAAACAAACAAACAAAAGUUCCUGCACCCCUUCCUGGGGGCAGCCGGCUUCUCCGUAGAGGGUGCCUCUAAAGAGCUGUCAAGGUUUCCUGUGGGAUGAGCUGAAACCUGUUAACCUCUCCAUCUGUCCAACUCCGGUUCCCUCACCCCCAGGGCCACUCCCCAUAAACCUCCUGCAGGCCUAUUUGAGAGCCGUUUUCUGGGGAAACUGAUUUACCACAAGGUCUUAAGUUAGAGUGUAUUUUUGUGUGGUCUUAUGAGGAUCUAAGAUUAAUGAAAUUAAAUUUUAAAAUUAAUUUAUUUAUUAAUUGUUAAUAGCAUUUUCACACUGAACGCUUAGUGCACCAAAAGUAUUUAUUGAAAAACCCAUCAAAAGUUGGAAAGGCCCACUGAUUAGCAAUGCCAGCACUGUUGUAUAUACACCUACUUUCUGUUCUAGUCUGUGGAUCUGUUUAUGCCUAUAUUAAUGCUGUGUUGUUUUAAUCACUACAUGUUUAUAAUAGUUAUUAUUAUCUGUCAUGGCAUGUCGCCUCUCUGUUCAUUCAUUUUGGAUUUAUCUUGGCUCUUCUUAGACCAUUAUUCUGCCCCAUGAAUUUUAAAAUCCUGACUUCAAGUUCUCAAAGAUAUGGUUUAAAUUAUGAAUGGAAAGAAUUUAUAACAAAUUGGUAUGGUAAAAAUUGGCAAUUUUUAAUAUGAGCCUUCUCAUCCAAUAACAUGCUGUAGAUAGUUUCCAUUUAUAGUCUCCACUUAGUUUUUCAUGUUUUUCUUGUGGAUAUCUCUAGUCAUUUUAGUGUCACUAUGGGUUCACAGAGCCAUUUCUUUUUCUUUCUUUCCGGAUUUGGCUUCUUCCUUGAGCAGUCCAUCCAAGACCUUCCCCCUGGAUGUCUUCAUUCAAGAGGACUUACCCGGCAGCUCUGCAUUUUUCAGAUGUCUUGUUUCUUUAUCAAGGGAAGAAAAGCCAAAUUCUGGAGAAAAAUCCAAGGCAGGCUGGUUGGAUGGUGGGAUAUAAAAGAAUAUAUAAUUGAGCAUCCAAGAGGAUUCAUGUUCCUUUGGUUCUGGCUUUUUAUACCAUGUCAGCCCAUUUCCUCCAGCCAUGUUCAAGACCGACUUUCAGAAGCAGGUAGGAGUCCUACUUAGACUCAUAUCUGAGUCAUAGACUCUAACUCAGAUUUCAUAAAAAGGCCCUACUUUGAUGAUAUUUACUUUAUUAUGAUGAUUAUUUUAUUUAUUUAUUUAUUGCCUUUUUUGAGCCACACCUGUGGCAUAUGGAGGUUCCCAUGCUAGAGAUCAAAUAGGAGCUGUAGCCAUCAGCCUACACCAUAGCCAUAGUGACUCGGAUCCAAGCUGUGUCUGUGACCUACACCACAGCUCACGGAAAAGCCAGAUCCUUAACCCACUGAGGGAGGCCAGGGAUCAAACCUGCGGCCUCAUGGAUGCUAAUCAGAUUCGUUUCUGCUGAGCUAUGACAGGAACUCCCAAUUUUUUUUUUUUUUUUUUUUUGAGCCGUACCUGCGGCAUAUGGAAGCCCCCAAGCUAGGGGUAAAAUUGAAGCUGUAGCCGCUGGCCUACACCUCAGCCACAGCAACCUCAGAUUCGAGCUGCAUCUGUGACCUACACCGCAGCUCAUGGCAAUGCCAGAUCCUUAACUCACUGCACAAGGCCAGGGACUGAACCCACGUCCUUAUGGAUGCUAACUGGAUCCAUUUCCACUGCACCACAGUGGGAACUCUCUGAUGGUAUUUAAUAUUGGCUCACUUAUAAAUAAAUAAUUGUUUCCCUAGUUCUUCUUUCCCA